Molecule: ribosomal RNA, 255 nt
Filed under: uncultured bacterium
Lineage: Bacteria
Description: partial 16S ribosomal RNA
Rfam family: Bacterial small subunit ribosomal RNA
Source: RNAcentral
UACGGAGGGGGCUAGCGUUGUUCGGAAUUACUGGGCGUAAAGCGCACGUAGGCGGCUUUGUAAGUUAGAGGUGAAAGCCCGGGGCUCAACUCCGGAAUUGCCUUUAAGACUGCAUCGCUAGAAUUGUGGAGAGGUAAGUGGAAAUUCCCGAGUGUAGAGGUGAAAUUCGUAGAUAUUCGGAAGAACACCAGUGGCGAAGGCGACUUACUGGACACAUAUUGACGCUGAGGUGCGAAAGCGUGGGGAGCAAACAGG